Herpailurus yagouaroundi (jaguarundi) is the source of this 135-nucleotide long non-coding RNA. RefSeq lists it as uncharacterized. The record is from RefSeq and is a predicted model, not a curated record. The transcript has 3 exons. Lineage: Eukaryota; Metazoa; Chordata; Mammalia; Carnivora; Felidae.
GAUGAGAUCGUGAUAUCGUAUAUGGGAAUUUUUUCUGUGUAAAUCAUCAAGUAUAAGAAGAAACUAUGGGACUCUGAGCCUUGCUUUAGAGAAUUUGCAGUGGAAAAAAUGGAAGAGCGUAGAGUAUGGAAAGAG